UCCAGACUCCUACGGGAGGCAGCAGUGAGGAAUAUUGGUCAAUGGCCGCAGGGCUGAACCAGCCAAGUCGCGUGAGGGAUGACGGUCCUAUGGAUUGUAAACCUCUUUUGUCAGGGAGCAAAGGGCGCCACGUGUGGCGUUUUGCGAGUACCUGAAGAAAAAGCAUCGGCUAACUCCGUGCCAGCAGCCGCGGUAAUACGGAGGAUGCGAGCGUUAUCCGGAUUUAUUGGGUUUAAAGGGUGCGCAGGCGGAAUGUCAAGUCAGCGGUAAAAUUUCGGGGCUCAACCCCGUCGUGCCGUUGAAACUGGCGUUCUUGAGUGAGCGAGAAGUAUGCGGAAUGCGUGGUGUAGCGGUGAAAUGCAUAGAUAUCACGCAGAACUCCGAUUGCGAAGGCAGCAUACCGGCGCUCAACUGACGCUCAUGCACGAAAGCGGGGGUAUCGAACAGGAUUAGAUACCAGUAC
RNAcentral lists this ribosomal RNA (463 nucleotides) under uncultured bacterium. RNAcentral's name for it is "bacterial SSU rRNA". It matches the Rfam family "Bacterial small subunit ribosomal RNA", at positions 330 to 792 of the family's 1533-position model. The record is from RNAcentral.